RNAcentral lists this ribosomal RNA (588 nucleotides) under uncultured bacterium. RNAcentral describes it as "partial 16S ribosomal RNA". It matches the Rfam family "Bacterial small subunit ribosomal RNA", at positions 355 to 1375 of the family's 1533-position model. The record is from RNAcentral.
UGGGGAAUUUUGGACAAUGGGCGAAAGCCUGAUCCAGCAAUGCCGCGUGUGUGAAGAAGGCCUUCGGGUUGUAAAGCACUUUUGUCCGGAAAGAAAUCCUUGGCUCUAAUACAGUCGGGGGAUGACGGUACCGGAAGAAUAAGCACCGGCUAACUACGUGCCAGCAGCCGCGGUAAUACGUAGGGUGCAAGCGUUAAUCGGAAUUACUGGGCGUAAAGCGUGCGCAGGCGGCUUGCUAAGACCGAUGUGAAAUCCUCGGGCUCAACCUGGGAACUGCAUUGGUGACUGGCAGGCUAGAGUAUGGCAGAGGGGGGUAGAAUUCCACGUGUAGCAGUGAAAUGCGUAGAGAUGUGGAGGAAUACCGAUGGCGAAGGCAGCCCCCUGGGGCCAAUACUGACGCUCAUGCACGAAAAGCGUGGGGAGCAAAACAGGAUUAGAUACCCUGGUAGUCCACGCCCUAAACGAUGUCAACUAGUUGUUGGGGAUUCAUUUCCUUAGUAACGUAGCUAACGCGUGAAGUUGACCGCCUGGGGAGUACGGUCGCAAGAUUAAAACUCAAAGGAAUUGACGGGGUCAUAGCUGUUUCCU